GAUGUACGACUCCUAUAUGGGCAUAGUGGGCCCGAUGUCCACUCUCCCGGCCGUGAUGGGCUGUAGAUUAGAGUUUGAUCCUGGCUCAGAUUGAACGCUGGCGGCAUGCCUAACACAUGCAAGUCGAACGGCAGCACAGUAUGUAACNAUACAUAUGGGUGGGCGAGUGGCGGACGGGUGCGUAAUAUNUAGAGAUCU
This 198-nucleotide ribosomal RNA is filed under the name uncultured bacterium. RNAcentral's name for it is "partial 16S ribosomal RNA". The stretch from base 63 to 198 matches the Rfam family "Bacterial small subunit ribosomal RNA", at positions 1 to 127 of the family's 1533-position model. The record is from RNAcentral.